GUUGCUUCUACUGGUGAACUCUCUCUAUAAUUUUCGAAGUGGGGAUGUUCAUGUUUCCGAAGCAUACAUUAAUUUUUGUGUAACGCCAGUUUUAAACAGCGCUGUGUGUACUUUCCUGUCGCAUUGUGCUACCUGUCUACUGGUAUAAUU
Molecule: small nucleolar RNA, 150 nt
Filed under: Cephalotus follicularis
Lineage: Eukaryota; Viridiplantae; Streptophyta; Magnoliopsida; Oxalidales; Cephalotaceae
Description: small nucleolar RNA snoR137
Rfam family: small nucleolar RNA snoR137
Source: Rfam by way of RNAcentral